Amazona aestiva (blue-fronted amazon) is the source of this 46-nucleotide regulatory RNA element. It matches the Rfam family "Histone 3' UTR stem-loop". From Rfam's summary of the family: The mRNAs of metazoan histone genes lack a poly-A tail. 3' end processing occurs at a site between a highly conserved stem-loop (modelled by this family) and a purine rich region around 20 nts downstream (the histone downstream element, or HDE). The stem-loop is bound by a 31 kDa stem-loop binding protein (SLBP - also termed the histone hairpin binding protein, or HBP). The record is from Rfam. NCBI's taxonomy places the organism in Eukaryota, Metazoa, Chordata, Aves, Psittaciformes, Psittacidae.
CUAAAGGCUCUUUUAAGAGCCACCCCCGUUUUCCUAGAAGGAGCCG